Amphimedon queenslandica is the source of this 359-nucleotide long non-coding RNA. RefSeq lists it as uncharacterized. NCBI's taxonomy places the organism in Eukaryota, Metazoa, Porifera, Demospongiae, Haplosclerida, Niphatidae. The transcript has 6 exons. The record is from RefSeq and is a predicted model, not a curated record.
UUACUGUUGGAUACUGCACAAUAUGGAAGAAACAAAAGAUACAAAAAAUACAGGAACCACUGGAAGAGGAGGUAGAGGAGAUAAAGGAACAACCUCAUGAUACAAAAAGACAGAAAGAACUUAAAGAAACUGUACAGCAACUAACAGACAUGCUUAGUGAAAAAGAAAAGGAAUUGAAUAAAAUGAAGGAAAAAAUACAAGAAAUGUCAUUAGUAAAGAAAACUAAGGAGGAUCAAAAUGAAGAGGAAUAUACACUAGUGGAAUUAAAGGAAGUAAAAGAAGCAACCAAUGAUUUGGAAGAGAAGCUACAAAGAAUGAAAAAAGAAUAUCACAUUAAAUGUAGUACAGAUUCUACUUCA